CAGGCGUCGGUGCUCAGCGGUGUUGGAACUUAGUGGCUUGCUUGCCUGUGCGCGCGUGCGCGGACAUGGCCUCAAACGAUUAUACCCAACAAGCAACCCAAAGCUAUGGGGCCUACCCCACCCAGCCCGGGCAGGGCUAUUCCCAGCAGAGCAGUCAGCCCUACGGACAGCAGAGUUACAGUGGUUAUAGCCAGUCCACGGACACUCCAGGCUAUGGCCAGAGCAGCUAUUCUUCUUAUGGCCAGAGCCAGAACACAGGCUAUGGAACUCAGUCAACUCCCCAGGGAUAUGGCUCGACUGGCGGCUAUGGCAGUAGCCAGAGCUCCCAAUCGUCUUACGGGCAGCAGUCCUCCUACCCUGGUUAUGGCCAGCAGCCAGCUCCCAGCAGCACCUCGGGAAGUUACGGUAGCAGUUCUCAGAGCAGCAGCUAUGGGCAGCCCCAGAGUGGGAGCUACAGCCAGCAGCCUAGCUAUGGUGGACAGCAGCAAAGCUAUGGACAGCAGCAAAGCUAUAAUCCCCCUCAGGGCUAUGGACAGCAGAACCAGUACAACAGCAGCAGUGGUGGCGGAGGUGGAGGUAACUAUGGCCAAGAUCAAUCCUCCAUGAGUAGUGGUGGUGGCAGUGGUGGCGGUUAUGGCAGUCAAGACCAGAGUGGUGGAGGUGGCAGCGGUGGCUACGGACAGCAGGACCGUGGAGGCCGCGGCAGGGGUGGCAGUGGUGGUGGCGGCGGCGGCGGCGGCGGCGGUGGUGGUUACAACCGCAGCAGUGGUGGCUAUGAACCCAGAGGUCGUGGAGGUGGCCGUGGAGGCAGAGGUGGCAUGGGGUAGGUGUCUCACGAGCCAGGGAGUAUCUUUGGUGGGGAGUGUGGAGGAUUGCAUGAAUCUCCCUGAAGCCAGUCCCUAGUGCAUGGUUUAGUAUUCUUGUUGUCUAGGGAUCUGUGAGGGCUUUGAUUUGGGGGCAGUGACUUUCUUUUUACAUCCCCAUUUUAUUUUUGUGAGAACUUGGGAUCCUGAACUCCCAUCCAUACCACUGAAUAGAGAUUUUGAGUAAUGAUACUUGUUUCCAAAAAAAAAAAAGAAACCAUACAUAGAUACGUAUGGAUUGGAGUCAUUAAUAUCCUAGGCAAGAAACAUGGAAGUGAAGACUUCUUUCUCUGCAAGGGAAACCGAUGAUCCCACUCCUGGGAAAUAGUAGGGAAACUUGGUAUGUGUAUUCCCAUGUGUCCUCUAGGGAGUUGGUAAUGGUUAACCUGACUUCAGCUUCCAGGAAUUGGCUACUCUUCCCGUUUUCUAUAGUCAUUUGAAUCCACGAGCUUGAUUUGCACUAAUUUGACCGACAUUGAUUUUGUGUGUGACUUGGUUUAUGGGGCCAGCUGACUGAAGUAAGCAGACCUUUUGGGCAAAAAUAUGCUUUGACAGUGGUCUCCCACCUAUUUGUUCCACUGUCUGCCUUCCCCUGGUUACUUAAAAUUCAUCAGCUUGUCCAACUGGACCUUCUUUCCUUCCUGCUGAAGUUGAUUUGAAGUAAAACCUUAGAUUUGAUGUUAAAACAGUUGUCAAAUCUGUUGGUAAAUAAGAUUUGAAGGACCCUACUCUGUCUCCCAUGAAAAAGGGGAGGAAUGUCAGUGUUACUGUUUUUGGAAAAAGUAGAUUUUUAAACCGAGUUUGGAAAUGGUAAGUAUGCAGAGGUGGGUGGGGGCAAUCUCAAAAACGUGCAAAAAUGAGGAAAACAAAAAUGAGGAAAUGUGUGCGUGUGUUUAAUGCAAAACUUUAAAAAGAAAAACAACUGUUAUGUGACUGUUAACUUGCUCUGCAUUUUAUGUGCCACAGGUAUGAAAGGUGACAUUGCAAAAUACUCCGCUCUUCUCGCAGUGUAGAAGGGGUGACCCCGGGGGUUGGGGGAGAUCAAAAACAGCUCAGUAGUUAGGACAGAGCUUAGCUAAGUUUGUCUUGCUUUAAGGGGAAGUUGCCUUUGGUUUUGACUUUUUAUGGAAUGGGGUUGGGUCUGCUUGCUGCUUUCAAAGCAAAAACCACAAAAAUGUGUUCAAGGCUACCCCAGCCUGGUGUGAAAUGUCUUCUGGGUAAAUUGGGGUAGGGUUUUUAAACCAACUACUUGGUUGUCAACCACUUGCGACAAGAGGAAAAAAAAACAUCUGCUCCAUCGGAAGAACGACCAAGGAAAAUGGGUUAUUUUUUUUCCAGAGGAAAUAGAUACGUAACCUUUUAAAGCAAAAUCUUUAUAAACUGUGUCUGAGAAAUUGCACACGUGUGUGUGACAUGCUCAAAGGUCAGACAAGGGGUGGUCAGGAAGGGAUGUAUUUUAGUAGCCACUUGUAUCUUUUUCCAAAAACACCUACCCGUGUUUGGGGAAUGUUAAACAAAAUCAAAAAACAACCUUUUGUAGCCGUUGGAAGCUUCAUGUCCUUUCUUCUAACUUGUCUUCUCCAGCGGAAGUGACCGUGGUGGCUUCAAUAAAUUUGGUGGUAAGUGAACAGAGUUUCCAAAAUUCCCAACUCCCAGCAAUGCUUUGUCUGAUUGUUCAUUUGCAGAUGUCUUAGCGUGUUAAUUUAAAUGUCAAAGGUUUUGAGGUGUCCAGAACCACCUCCAGAAAGGGGUAGGGUAGAAUGCCACCUGUUGCCUGGUGUGUGCUAACCUGGAGCAGGUAGGGGUAAGACUCAAUAGUCAUCUUUUACCAAAUGGGUUUGCCCCAGGUUAAUAAGAGGGGUCUAGUAGGCCUUGGACUGGGCUGUUGCCACACCUGGCACUUAGUGACCAUCAUCAUGAGAAACUGGAGAGUGCGUGCUGGAACACGUGGUGCCAUCUUGGCUUUAGGAUCCUUUUGAUCGUUGUGUCCAAGGCUUGUGUGUGUGUGAGUGUGUGGGAGACAACUCCGAAUGUUUAAUUCUGGAAGAGGGAUGUAACAUUGCCCUGAGGAUGGUGAAGUUGGUAUACAUUUAUAAAGUACGGAAUGGUGUCAAUGAAUGCAACUCUAUGUAUAUGGACUUAACUGAGAUGGGCAAAUAGAAACUAGCUCUGGGAAGGAACAUGUGCACUACUUCAAGAAAGAUUGGAAGCAUGUGUGGCUCAUGGGAAAUAACCAGGUCUUAAACAGCACAAACUGAAUUCAUGGACCAGGAAGGUCUUAAACAGCACAAACUGAAUUCAUGGAAAAAUGACAAAUUUGAGAAGUCUCCCAGUAAGCUGGAACUUUUCUGGUUUGGUUAACUAACAAAAGGUUUCUUGAUUUGUUUCAAGAUUUAAAGCCAAAGGCGUGGGUUCAUGACUUAGGUGUCAUUGCGUGUGGGUACAAUAUUUAUAUAUGGCGAAUUCAGAUAAACAUUGGUCAAAGAUGGUCUCUGGAAAAACAAAAUAGAGGCUGCAUUACGGAAAUAAGAUUUCUGGUCUGUUCCCUGGGACAUGCUUAAAAAAUACAAUAGCUAUUAUGUAUGGUUUUUAUUUUCAUGUGGUUUCGGGGAAACAACACGGUUUUAAGGAUGGUUUCUAAAGAUGAAAUUAAAAAUUGUUCCACAAGGGUUAAGUGUCUGGUGGUAAAGUUGGGAGAAACUGGAUGGAUGCACAUCGCAUGGCUGGUGGCGAGCCCAUCUCUCUUCUCUCGGGUGAGAGAACCGGGCCAAGCUGAGUUGGUUUGUUCACUUUAAUGGGUCUCCGUUUCCCCUGCCACCUGUGCUGAGGACAUUUCCCAGCCUGAGCUGGGGGAGGCAGCAUUUUCUGAAGUGUGGAGUUGUCUCUGUGGAGACUCAAGUUACAGAUCUUAAGGGGCCUGCCUAGAAUUUUCUCCUCUGGGCAGGCGACCCAGGAAAGGGUUUGGAGUGAGGCUGUGAGCACUUACUUGAUAUUUUACAAGUUUGGAUUUGGUGUUUUUUUCCUUGUCCGUUUUUUCCUGUUGACUAACGGCUCCUCUUUUCCUUGUUUUUGUUUUUUUUUUUGUUCUUUUUUUCCAUGUCACUAAAGGCCCUCGGGACCAAGGAUCACGUCAUGACUCCGAACAGGAUAAUUCAGACAACAACACCAUCUUUGUGCAAGGCCUGGGUGAGAAUGUUACAAUUGAGUCUGUGGCUGAUUACUUCAAGCAGAUUGGUAUUAUUAAGACAAACAAGAAAACGGGACAGCCCAUGAUUAAUUUGUACACAGACAGGGAAACUGGCAAGCUGAAGGGAGAGGCAACGGUCUCUUUUGAUGACCCACCUUCCGCUAAAGCAGCUAUUGACUGGUUUGAUGGUAAAGAAUUUUCCGGAAAUCCUAUCAAGGUCUCAUUUGCUACUCGCCGGGCAGACUUUAAUCGGGGUGGUGGCAAUGGUCGUGGAGGCCGAGGGCGAGGAGGACCCAUGGGCCGUGGAGGCUAUGGAGGUGGUGGCAGUGGUGGUGGUGGCCGAGGAGGAUUUCCCAGUGGAGGUGGUGGCGGUGGAGGACAGCAGCGAGCUGGUGACUGGAAGUGUCCUAAUCCCACCUGUGAGAAUAUGAACUUCUCUUGGAGGAAUGAAUGCAACCAGUGUAAGGCCCCUAAACCAGAUGGCCCAGGAGGGGGACCAGGUGGCUCUCACAUGGGGGGUAACUACGGGGAUGAUCGUCGUGGUGGCAGAGGAGGCUAUGAUCGAGGCGGCUACCGGGGCCGCGGCGGGGACCGUGGAGGCUUCCGAGGGGGCCGGGGUGGUGGGGACAGAGGUGGCUUUGGCCCUGGCAAGAUGGAUUCCAGGGGUGAGCACAGACAGGAUCGCAGGGAGAGGCCGUAUUAAUUAGCCUGGCUCCCCAGGUUCUGGAACAGCUUUUUGUCCUGUACCCAGUGUUACCCUCGUUAUUUUGUAACCUUCCAAUUCCUGAUCACCCAAGGGUUUUUUUUGUGUCGGACUAUGUAAUUGUAACUAUACCUCUGGUUCCCAUUAAAAGUGACCAUUUUAGUU
This 4918-nucleotide small RNA is filed under the name Pan troglodytes (chimpanzee). RNAcentral describes it as "retained intron". The record is from RNAcentral. Lineage: Eukaryota; Metazoa; Chordata; Mammalia; Primates; Hominidae.